AGAACGAACGCUGGCGGCAGGCUUAACACAUGCAAGUCGAACGCACCGCAAGGUGAGUGGCAGACGGGUGAGUAACGCGUGGGAAUCUACCUAGCUCUUCGGAAUAGCUCCGGGAAACUGGAAUUAAUACCGAGUACGCCCUACGGGGGAAAGAUUUAUCGGAGUUAGAUGAGCCCGCGUUGGAUUAGCUAGUUGGUGGGGUAAUGGCCUACCAAGGCGACGAUCCAUAGCUGGUCUGAGAGGAUGAUCAGCCACACUGGGACUGAGACACGGCCCAGACUCCUACGGGAGGCAGCAGUGGGGAAUAUUGGACAAUGGGCGCAAGCCUGAUCCAGCCAUGCCGCGUGAGUGAUGAAGGCCUAGGUUGUAAAGCUCUUUCAGUGGGGAAGAUAAUGACGGUACCCACAGAAGAAGCCCCGGCUAACUUCGUGCCAGCAGCCGC
RNAcentral lists this ribosomal RNA (442 nucleotides) under uncultured soil bacterium. RNAcentral's name for it is "bacterial SSU rRNA". It matches the Rfam family "Bacterial small subunit ribosomal RNA", at positions 26 to 518 of the family's 1533-position model. The record is from RNAcentral.